UGGGGAAUUUUGGACAAUGGGCGAAAGCCUGAUCCAGCAAUGCCGCGUGUGUGAAGAAGGCCUUCGGGUUGUAAAGCACUUUUGUCCGGAAAGAAAUCCUUGGCUCUAAUACAGUCGGGGGAUGACGGUACCGGUGAAGAAUAAGCACCGGCUAACUACGUGCCAGCAGCCGCGGUAAUACGUAGGGUGCAAGCGUUAAUCGGAAUUACUGGGCGUAAAGCGUGCGCAGGCGGUUUGCUAAGACCGAUGUGAAAUCCCCGGGCUCAACCUGGGAACUGCAUUGGUGACUGGCAGGCUAGAGUAUGGCAGAGGGGGGUAGAAUUCCACGUGUAGCAGUGAAAUGCGUAGAGAUGUGGAGGAAUACCGAUGGCGAAGGCAGCCCCCUGGGCAAUACUGACGCUCAUGCACGAAAGCGUGGGGAGCAAACAGGAUUAGAUACCCUGGUAGUCCACGCCCUAAACGAUGUCAACUAGUUGUUGGGGAUUCAUUUCUUAGUAACGUAGCUAACGCGUGAAGUUGACCGCCUGGGGAGUACGGUCGCAAGAUUAAAACUUAAAUGAAUUGACGGGGUCAUAGCUGUUUCCU
Molecule: ribosomal RNA, 585 nt
Filed under: uncultured bacterium
Lineage: Bacteria
Description: partial 16S ribosomal RNA
Rfam family: Bacterial small subunit ribosomal RNA
Source: RNAcentral